CUACGAUUUACUUCUGGGAUCUGUUGCCGCGUUUUAUGUGCUCAUGGUGCCCUACACUAAAGUUGAAGAAAGCUUCAACAUUCAGGCUAUGCAUGAUAUUCUUUAUCAUCGGCAUCGUUUAGAUAACUAUGAUCAUUUGGAGUUUCCAGGUGUUGUUCCUCGCACUUUUAUCGGGGCAUUGCUUGUGUCAAUUUUUGCAUCUCCAAUUGUAUUAGCAGUGCAACUGCUGAAGUUGCCAAAGAUUUAUAGUCUUAUAAUUGGUUAGUCAUCUGAAUACUCUUAGCUGAUAGAUCUUUGUUUGUUAAUUCU
Hibiscus syriacus is the source of this 309-nucleotide long non-coding RNA. RefSeq lists it as uncharacterized. The transcript has 4 exons. The record is from RefSeq and is a predicted model, not a curated record. NCBI's taxonomy places the organism in Eukaryota, Viridiplantae, Streptophyta, Magnoliopsida, Malvales, Malvaceae.